CAACAUGGCUAGUAGAUCAAUUAAAAACCUGACUGAACCAGCUAGAAACCAUUUCCAAAUUUGUUGCGCUAACAACUUAAAUUGGAUUUCCAGCAGGAAUGUGGACAUUUUUAUGGUUAAUUUAAUUUGAUACAAACACUCAUUAUUGUAAACACUUUUUUUUUUUUCACAGAAAUGAUGGCCAAGUGCAUUGUAUUGACUGCUAUAGCGAUGUUGGCGGUGGCAUGUGUGGCCUCUCCUCUGUACAAAGACACAGCUGCGAACACAAAGGCGAAGGAACAGUUUCCGGAGAGACCGCCUGAGACACCCGAGAGACUGGAGUCCCGUGUGAGUCGUUCCGUGCAUAUACCGGCGGAUCAGCGCGAGCUCGUGUCCCGGCAACUCUUACAGGCACUAUCAGAAAUCAUCCAACGGGAGGACUGCGUUACAGAUUAUCAAGGCUGGGUAGAUUUUGGGCGCCGGAG
Molecule: long non-coding RNA, 464 nt
Organism: Sinocyclocheilus anshuiensis
Lineage: Eukaryota; Metazoa; Chordata; Actinopteri; Cypriniformes; Cyprinidae
Exons: 3
Source: RefSeq, a predicted model, not a curated record